CUAAAACCAAACCCUAACAAAAACAAAUGCCAAGCAAAAAAAAAAAAAAAAGAAAAACCAACUAACCCCCAAACCACGGAGCCCUGGGGGAAGCGGAAUUUUUCAGGGCUGCUCAGUGCGCUGUCUGAGAAGGUGCGUGUAAUUUGUAACUGUUUGCUGAACAUGAACCAAGUGUGGGUUGAGGAUGAAGUUGAGAUGAGAAUAAAGUAACCCUUGUCUUUAGCACUUGGGAUAACUUAGAAGUGCCUCUUUUCUCCAGAGGCUGUGGAUCCAGUGGCCCAGGCUGCGAGUGGGUGCUGCCUGCGGCCACAUUUUUUGCAGAGCAAAGCAAAAGGAAACGUGUGGGGAAGUUGGGGAGCAAAGGAGCAACUGUGGAUGCUCCAGAAAUAGGCACCUCCGCAGGGACGUGUGCGGGCGCGGGCUGGAGCCAUGGAUGUUGUCUCUGUGCUUGCAUCGUGAAUUCUGGCUGUGUGCUGCUGUCCUCUAAUUUCCCAUGACAACAUAUGGAUCCCAUAAAGGCAAACAUGCCGGAGUGCAUCUGUCUGGGUAGUUAACACAAACCAAACAUCCCCCUGCUCGGCGAUCCUGCUGCUCCUCUGGCCGCGCUGCGCGGAGCCCUCCUGCGACAGCCCCUCGCUGCUCCGGCAUUCCCCGUCACGCUCCCGGGGUGAGCCCGACUGCCCCGGGAGGGAGGAGGGCAGCAGGCGCCAGCUCAGGGGAGCGGAGAGGUUAAGCGGGAAGAGGGGCGCGCGCCCUGCGGCCCCCCGCCCUCCUGGGAGCUGGUCCAGCCCGAGCAGGCUCUGCCCUGGGGUCAAGUCCUAGGACAUCUUCCCUCCACUCCUGGCAAGGCAGGAGCUGAAGCUGGGAAGGGAAACAGCCAGAUGAGCGGAUGGCAGAGAUUUGCCCCUCGUCCUGGAUGCAGCCGUCUGGAGGCUGGGGAACGGGAGAGUUCCCAGUUUUCCGAGGUGCAAAAAGAGGUGGUGAGGGGAGGCUGUGUGUGAAAAGAAGGGAAGGAGCAAGUGACGGCCGCAGGACCAGCGGAUAAAACCACUACGCAAAUACCGAAAUGCAGCCAAGGAAUUAAGGGAUAAUUCGUACAGAAAUUGUUAGGUAUGAUUACAUGUAUGUGCAUGCGUGUCUCCUCUAGAAAAUUUGCUUUCCAUAAGAUUUCUUUGUUCUAGACAAAAAGAUAAUCUGGUUGCUAAAAUACAAGAAGGGGCUUCCCUUGCUUUAAUUAGAAAUCUUGAUACAGCCUCAUCUGCAAUAGUGCGGGUGCCUCUUGUUUCUAUACAUGUAUCUCUGCACACGCAUAGAUGGGAUUUUGGGUUCAAAUAGCUUUUAAUGUGCUUAGCAGAAAGAAGCUCUCAGUAUCAGAUCUGCAGGGAAAGUAAGACUGAUUUUUCCCAUAGGAAACUUGUUAAAGACACAGCUGAAUUAUUAGAUCAACCCGUUUUUUUGUCUCAUGGUAUAUCUGAUGUAUUUGCGCAUAGAAUUGUAGUUUAAUUUCCGUUAUUUUGAACAGAUGGAACGAAUAGCGGUGCUUUAAAGUUAUUAUUUGUAGAAAUGUAUACAAAUUAAGAGGAACAACUUUGAAGCAAAAUGUUUUUCUGAGGCAGCGCGUAUGGCUUUCUGGACAGGACUCUCGGCAAAGAUGGUUGUUAUCUCUGACAUGUAAAACAGGGGUGAGCAGCUCCAGUUUCCUGGGUUCUCCCCUGGAGACACGACCUGGCUGCCAGGGGGCUCGGGAGCAGCUCCCUGAGGCUGGGGUGGGUCAGAUUUGCAUGGGGCCGUGGUGACAGCACUUGACUCGGUCGAAUUUUUAGGGAGCCACAAGCAUAUUCCCUUGCUCGCCGCCUGGCACGGGGGGACCGGGCCAAGGCUUUGCGAUGCCGGAGGCCGACGGUGCACAAGGGGCUGAUGUAUGGGGAUAGUAAAAAAAAAAAUAAAUUUCCAGGCUAUCUUUUUAAAUUCAGGCUUUAAAAAUUAUUGGUGGUAGAGGGGAGAUCUAGCUUAGAAAAAAUCUCCGUAAUAUCCACUUCCACAGCUCUGUGCUUCUUGGAAAUGUGUCUGAAGAAUCAGAACAAAGCAUGGAAGGCCAGAGUCCUUGAAGGAGCUCCAAAUGAUAAAGUCUGCCAUUCAUUUUAAACACAGCGUGCAUUGUGGAAACACAGGUCAAUUUGAAGGCAUUUGUCAGAUUUCCAGUUCCCUCUGCUCCUUUGCAAUGGAAAUUUGCAAUCAAAUCCCCGUGCUGGAGUUGGGAUGUCUGCCUUGAUCAGUUUGUAUGACUUUAUGCCCAAAGCACUGGCCAGGUAAGCUAGCUUUUCCUUUGGAAAGUUUGUUUGUGUGGAGUUGAGCAGGAGAUGGGGGGAAGACUGAGGGGAAUCAAGCUGGAGCAGAUGCGUUUAUUCCAGGUUUGGAAAGGGGAAAGGGCAGGCGAUCGGCGGUGACGGAUUGCACAGGGCUGGCCGAGCUGCAGGAGUGAGCUGAUACCAUUUAGAGACGCCCAGCAAGAGGCAUGGCCAUAACACAAGAGGAGUGGAUGUGUUUGCCAUGGAAAUAAACACUUGGAAUACAUCUAUAUGUUUCUUGGCUUUUUGAGAGAAAUGAAGAAAAAAGUCUUGGCAUUUAAUUAGGAGUCACUAACCUGAUAAAUAUUGAACAUCGUUUCUUUGUGAGCUGUUCCCUGUGCUUGGAGUACUCUAUGGAUGUAUUCCACAAUUGCACUUGUUUAAUGCCUGUAUCACCUCAUGCCUAUUGUAUUUAUGUUGUCAUCAAUGUCAGAUUUUAAUUAAACAAUUAAAUCACUGUCACAGCAA
Long non-coding RNA from Pipra filicauda (Wire-tailed manakin), 2816 nucleotides. RefSeq lists it as uncharacterized. NCBI's taxonomy places the organism in Eukaryota, Metazoa, Chordata, Aves, Passeriformes, Pipridae. The transcript is spliced from 2 exons. The record is from RefSeq and is a predicted model, not a curated record.